AAAAUGCUAGCUUGAUAGUGACAGGUAAGGAGAUUGUGAAGAAGUGUAGAGGUGUACCUCUGGCUGCAAAGGCUCUAGGAAGCUUAUGCGUUUCAAACAUACAGAGACUGAAUGGUUGUUCGUGAGAGACAGUGAAAUUUGGGAUCUUCCAGAAGAUGAAGAAAAUACCAUUUUGCCGGCCUUGAGAUUGAGCUACAAUCAUCUGCCUUCAUAUCUGAAGCAAUGUUUCGCUUAUUGCUCCAUAAUCCCAAAGGAUUAUCGGAUGAAGAAGGAAAAGUUAGUCCAUCUCUGGAUGGCUAAUGGUUUUUUUCCAUCUAAAAGUUAAAAGCGUAAAAUGGAGUUGGAAGACAUGGGGAAUAAAAUUUUCAAUGAGUUACUGCAAAGGUCUUUCUUCCAAGAUGUAAAAGAAGAUGGUGAUGGCAAUGCAGUGUAUUGUAAGAUGCAUGAUCUAGUCCAUGAUCUUGCAUGUUCUGUUAUGGAUAAUGAAUGUUUGGCCUUAACAA
Molecule: long non-coding RNA, 503 nt
Organism: Telopea speciosissima
Lineage: Eukaryota; Viridiplantae; Streptophyta; Magnoliopsida; Proteales; Proteaceae
Exons: 3
Source: RefSeq, a predicted model, not a curated record